AUGGACAGUGCCUUGUAGACCAGGCUGUUGUGGUGGUGUGGAGGCAGAGAUGGGUGGGGCAGACGGUGGGGAUGAGGCAGGCAGGGGUGCGGGCACGGGUGCUGGGGAAGUGGUCGGAUGGGGCGUGAGAUGACGUGCAGGCUCAAGGCCAGAAGGCAGGGGCAGAGGCUGGCUGCUCACCUGGGGUUGGUUGUGCAGUCCUGGGGGUGGUACUUCUUGACCUGUGGCGGGGCCAGCCCCAAGGUUGUGUUACAGGGCAUGGAUGUUGCACGUCUGCGUACGUGACAUUCUCAUCAUGCUCACCAGGUCCAGCUCGCCAGUGUCCGCGACGACGACGGACAUUGAUUUCAGAGCCUCAAGCUGGUUCUUAAAGGUCUGAGCUGGAACUGUGGAGUAGGGCCCGCGAGGCGGCGGGAGAGGCGCCUUCUUCUCCUCGAGAUAGGCCCGCACGACGGGCGACUUCCGCGACCGUCCCUGCUGUGACUGCACAGUGCGGCUGCAUGAUGUCGGAGCACGCAAAAGGGACAUCGUGCUGGAUUGGCAGAAGCGAAAUGUGCAACGUUUAGGUGUCGGAGCCGGUGUGCAAUCGGUCGCGUUGGCGUCACUACGUGCAGUCGCUGCGUCGCCUCGUGAAGUGUAGCUCCCUCCUAUUUAUACUGUGGGCAGGACCGAAACGAGGCCCG
RNAcentral lists this long non-coding RNA (683 nucleotides) under Chlamydomonas reinhardtii. RNAcentral's name for it is "long non-coding RNA (CREI_LNC000047)". The record is from RNAcentral. Lineage: Eukaryota; Viridiplantae; Chlorophyta; Chlorophyceae; Chlamydomonadales; Chlamydomonadaceae.